RNAcentral lists this long non-coding RNA (493 nucleotides) under Heterocephalus glaber (naked mole-rat). RNAcentral describes it as "lncRNA (ENSHGLG00100040506.1)". The record is from RNAcentral. Lineage: Eukaryota; Metazoa; Chordata; Mammalia; Rodentia; Bathyergidae.
AGAGAAUCAGUGAUAUGUGUGGCAACAUCAACUGUCUUUACAUAAUUGUAAUUGGCAUCACCAAAAGAAUUGAGAUGAAGAAGAAAGAAGUGAUUAAUUUAUGGCUGAGAGUUUUCCAAGAGAUAUAGAUAAUUAUCUGCUAUAGUCUAUAUCUAGAAGUACACUCAAAGCAUCAUGGGCUCUUAGGUUUUGUCUUUUCAUAUAAAAAUACUAUCAUAGAGCACAUUUUUGGAUAACCGCCAAAGAUCGGAGAGAAUCUAAAUUUCAUUCAACAGAAAUCUGCUUCGCUAAAUGUAUGGGGAUCGAUCUCGGUCCUUGCGUUCCAUAGCAGGUGGUGAAACCACUGAGCUAAAAAAAUCCCGGCCACAUCAAGGAAUUUAAAAGGAAGAUGAACUUAACUUGAGAUGGCUUUACAAAUGAGAUAUGAAGAAAAAAAGGACUUUGGAACUGUACGGGGUAUUGAUUUGAAGAGACAAGAAGGAAAUGAAUAAAU